RNAcentral lists this ribosomal RNA (819 nucleotides) under Enterococcus gallinarum. RNAcentral describes it as "bacterial SSU rRNA". It matches the Rfam family "Bacterial small subunit ribosomal RNA", at positions 51 to 842 of the family's 1533-position model. The record is from RNAcentral. Lineage: Bacteria; Bacillati; Bacillota; Bacilli; Lactobacillales; Enterococcaceae.
AUACAUGCAGUCGAACGCUUUUUCUUUCACCGGAGCUUGCUCCACCGAAAGAAAAAGAGUGGCGAACGGGUGAGUAACACGUGGGUAACCUGCCCAUCAGAAGGGGAUAACACUUGGAAACAGGUGCUAAUACCGUAUAACACUAUUUUCCGCAUGGAAGAAAGUUGAAAGGCGCUUUUGCGUCACUGAUGGAUGGACCCGCGGUGCAUUAGCUAGUUGGUGAGGUAACGGCUCACCAAGGCCACGAUGCAUAGCCGACCUGAGAGGGUGAUCGGCCACACUGGGACUGAGACACGGCCCAGACUCCUACGGGAGGCAGCAGUAGGGAAUCUUCGGCAAUGGACGAAAGUCUGACCGAGCAACGCCGCGUGAGUGAAGAAGGUUUUCGGAUCGUAAAACUCUGUUGUUAGAGAAGAACAAGGAUGAGAGUAGAACGUUCAUCCCUUGACGGUAUCUAACCAGAAAGCCACGGCUAACUACGUGCCAGCAGCCGCGGUAAUACGUAGGUGGCAAGCGUUGUCCGGAUUUAUUGGGCGUAAAGCGAGCGCAGGCGGUUUCUUAAGUCUGAUGUGAAAGCCCCCGGCUCAACCGGGGAGGGUCAUUGGAAACUGGGAGACUUGAGUGCAGAAGAGGAGAGUGGAAUUCCAUGUGUAGCGGUGAAAUGCGUAGAUAUAUGGAGGAACACCAGUGGCGAAGGCGGCUCUCUGGUCUGUAACUGACGCUGAGGCUCGAAAGCGUGGGGAGCGAACAGGAUUAGAUACCCUGGUAGUCCACGCCGUAAACGAUGAGUGCUAAGUGUUGGAGGGUUUCCGCCCUUCA